Molecule: long non-coding RNA, 1155 nt
Organism: Argiope bruennichi
Lineage: Eukaryota; Metazoa; Arthropoda; Arachnida; Araneae; Araneidae
Exons: 8
Source: RefSeq, a predicted model, not a curated record
UUGCGCAUAUAGCAGCGCAGUUAUGAUCUAAGUGGUAGUAUGGUCUCGCACCUUCAGAAAAUUGAGUUCUGUUUCGACAUAUACGAUAGCUCCAGAAAUGCGUUGCGGUACGUAAUUUUGUGCCUUGAGUUGUUAGGAUAUUUAUUCUGUUUUAGCUUUUGGUUCUAUGAAAAUUGAAAUAUAAGAUGAAAAUCUCACUGUUUCCAUUUCAGAAUCUGAAUUGCUCUUUUUUGUUGUGUGCCAUCACAGAAAAUUUUAUUCUGCUCUAAUAGAUUUGAUGGUAGAAUUAUUUCUGAUUUCAAAGAUGGCGAGUUUAAAAAACAGAAUCGAGGAGUGUGCAUGGAUAUUAGUUAGAAUGUUUUGAAGAAUCCGGAGCUUUAAUCACUGUCAUAGACAAUAAUAAUGUUUUAUACCGCUAUUAUUUCAGUGAGACAUAUAGAAAACUAAACCAAAUGAACCCUGGCAUUUCUUUCUAUAAAAGUAUGCUGGGUAUCAUGAUUUCAAAGGAUUUCCAUCACAAUUCAGAAGGAAACAACAUCAAGGAAAAGAUGGCCCUCGUGAUUGAUUCUUGGAAAGAAGGAAUCCAGCAGAACUCUUAAUGAUUCUUCUUGCAAAUAAUUGGUCGGCGUGAAGUUCAAAUUUCUUUGACUAUUGAUUGAACUUUCUUUUCAAUGAGUAUUUACAUAUAAAAAAAAUUGGAUGGUAAGCCGCUGUUAUCUGAGACCAAUUAAAUCUCUGCUAGUGUUUCCACCUGAAGCCAAUUCAUUUUUGAUCUUUAUUUCUAAUGUAACAAGAAUGUUGUCGUGCCUUGACAGAGAGCAUUUCAGGAUCGUAAAUGCGAGCUGUGGUUAAAUGGAGAAGACGGUAUUUCUGCAGGGGACACAGUUGGUAUCCAGAAGAACCAAUAUUUUGAAGGGAUGCAACAGCUUUCAUCGAUAGUUUGCUCAAUGGAAAUUACAUGUUCCAUCUCAAGAGAACACAUAUUGCUAACCCUUUAUGUGGCAAAAAAAUUCUGUGUGUUAUUGUCCACUGCUGGAAGAUUUGUAAAUUAUGUUGAUUCGAAGUGAAGUACCUUCCUGCCUUAUUCAAGAUAAGUUCUUCUGUAAGAAUACUAAAUGUACAAGAAAUGACAUUAAAGAAAAAUAUUUCUUUUGU